Molecule: ribosomal RNA, 346 nt
Filed under: uncultured bacterium
Lineage: Bacteria
Description: bacterial SSU rRNA
Rfam family: Bacterial small subunit ribosomal RNA
Source: RNAcentral
AGGGUUUGAUUAUGGCUCAGGAUGAACGCUGGCGGCGUGCUUAACACAUGCAAGUCGAACGAAGCAUUUACGACAGAUUUCUUCGGAUUGAAGUUGUUUAUGACUGAGUGGCGGACGGGUGAGUAACGCGUGGGUAACCUGCCUUGUACUGGGGGAUAGCAGCUGGAAACGGCUGGUAAUACCGCAUAAGCGCACGAUGUCGCAUGACAUAGUGUGAAAAACUCCGGUGGUAUAAGAUGGACCCGCGUCUGAUUAGCUAGUUGGUGAGAUAACAGCCCACCAAGGCGACGAUCAGUAGCCGACCUGAGAGGGUGACCGGCCACAUUGGGACUGAGACACGGCCCAG